GAUUGCCUCAGUAACGGCGAGUGAAGCGGCAACAGCUCAAAUUUGAAAUCUGGCCCUUUCAGGGUCCGAGUUGUAAUUUGUAGAGGAUGUUUCGGGCGUGGCUCCGGUCUAAGUUCCUUGGAACAGGACGUCAUAGAGGGUGAGAAUCCCGUAUGUGACUGGUAGCCUAUGCCCAUGUGAAACUCCUUCGACGAGUCGAGUUGUUUGGGAAUGCAGCUCAAAAUGGGUGGUAAAUUUCAUCUAAAGCUAAAUAUUGGCCAGAGACCGAUAGCGCACAAGUAGAGUGAUCGAAAGAUGAAAAGCACUUUGGAAAGAGAGUUAAACAGUACGUGAAAUUGUUGAAAGGGAAGCGCUUGCAACCAGACUUGCACGUGGCCGAUCAACCGGUGUUCUCACCGGUGCACUCGGUUGCGUUCAGGCCAGCAUCGGUUUCGACGGUUGGAUAAAGGCCCCGGGAAUGUAGCUUCUUUCGGGGAGUGUUAUAGCCCGGGGUGCAAUGCAGCCUGUUGGGACCGAGGACCGCGCUUCGGCUAGGAUGCUGGCGUAAUGGUUGUAAGCGACCCGUCUUGAAACACGGACCAAGGAGUCUAACAUCUAUGCGAGUGUUUGGGUGUCAAACCCAUACGCGUAAUGAAAGUGAACGGAGGUGAGAACCCUUAAGGGUGCAUCAUCGACCGAUCCUGAUGUCUUCGGAUGGAUUUGAGUAAGAGCAUAGCUGUUGGGACCCGAAAGAUGGUGAACUAUGCCUGAAUAGGGUGAAGCCAGAGGAAACUCUGGUGGAGGCUCGCAGCGGUUCUGACGUGCAAAUCGAUCGUCAAAU
RNAcentral lists this ribosomal RNA (820 nucleotides) under Bulgaria inquinans. RNAcentral's name for it is "eukaryotic LSU rRNA". It matches the Rfam family "Eukaryotic large subunit ribosomal RNA", at positions 73 to 910 of the family's 3401-position model. Lineage: Eukaryota; Fungi; Ascomycota; Leotiomycetes; Phacidiales; Phacidiaceae. The record is from RNAcentral.